GCGGAGGAAAAGAAACCAACAGGGAUUGCCCUAGUAACGGCGAGUGAAGCGGCAACAGCUCAAAUUUGAAAUCUGGCUCUUUUAGGGUCCGAGUUGUAAUUUGCAGAGGGCGCUUUGGCGUUGGCAGCGGUCCAAGUUCCUUGGAACAGGACGUCACAGAGGGUGAGAAUCCCGUACGUGGUCGCUGGCCUUCGCCGUGUAAAGCCCCUUCGACGAGUCGAGUUGUUUGGGAAUGCAGCUCUAAAUGGGAGGUAAAUUUCUUCUAAAGCUAAAUACUGGCCAGAGACCGAUAGCGCACAAGUAGAGUGAUCGAAAGAUGAAAAGCACUUUGGAAAGAGAGUCAAAUAGCACGUGAAAUUGUUGAAAGGGAAGCGCUUGCAGCCAGACUUGCCUGUAGUUGCUCAUCCGGGCUUUUGCCCGGUGCACUCUUCUGCGGGCAGGCCAGCAUCAGUUUGGGCGGUUGGAUAAAGGUCUCUGUCAUGUACCUCCUUUCGGGGAGGCCUUAUAGGGGAGACGACAUGCAACCAGCCUGGACUGAGGUCCGCGCAUUUUGCUAGGAUGCUGGCGUAAUGGCUGUAAGCGGCCCGUCUUGAAACACGGACCAAGGAGUCUAACAUCUAUGCGAGUGUUUGGGUGUCAAGCCCGAGCGCGCAAUGAAAGUGAACGGAGGUGGGAACCCUUUAGGGUGCACCAUCGACCGAUCCUGAUGUCUUCGGAUGGAUUUGAGUAAGAGCAUGGCUGUUGGGACCCGAAAGAUGGUGAACUAUGCUUGAAUAGGGUGAAGCCAGAGGAAACUCUGGUGGAGGCUCGCAGCGGUUCUGACGUGCAAAUCGAUCGUCAAAUUUGGGCAUAGGGGCGAAAGACUAAUCGAACUAUCUAGUAGCUGGUCCUGC
Molecule: small RNA, 893 nt
Filed under: Pyrenochaeta sp. 1 NV-2015
Lineage: Eukaryota; Fungi; Ascomycota; Dothideomycetes; Pleosporales; Cucurbitariaceae
Description: eukaryotic LSU rRNA
Rfam family: Eukaryotic large subunit ribosomal RNA
Source: RNAcentral